CUGCUUUCCUAAGUAGAUAUAUUGUUCC
Molecule: small RNA, 28 nt
Filed under: Bombyx mori (domestic silkworm)
Lineage: Eukaryota; Metazoa; Arthropoda; Insecta; Lepidoptera; Bombycidae
Description: ovarian small RNA-14925
Source: RNAcentral